AUUGAACGCUGGCGGCAGGCCUAACACAUGCAAGUCGAACGGUAACAGGAAGAAGCUUGCUUCUUUGCUGACGAGUGGCGGACGGGUGAGUAAUGUCUGGGAAACUGCCUGAUGGAGGGGGAUAACUACUGGAAACGGUAGCUAAUACCGCAUAACGUCGCAAGACCAAAGAGGGGGACCUUCGGGCCUCUUGCCAUCGGAUGUGCCCAGAUGGGAUUAGCUAGUAGGUGGGGUAACGGCUCACCUAGGCGACGAUCCCUAGCUGGUCUGAGAGGAUGACCAGCCACACUGGAACUGAGACACGGUCCAGACUCCUACGGGAGGCAGCAGUGGGGAAUAUUGCACAAUGGGCGCAAGCCUGAUGCAGCCAUGCCGCGUGUGUGAAGAAGGCCUUCGGGUUGUAAAGUACUUUCAGCGGGGAGGAAGGGAGUAAAGUUAAUACCUUUACUCAUUGACGUUACCCGCAGAAGAAGCACCGGCUAACUCCGUG
RNAcentral lists this ribosomal RNA (490 nucleotides) under uncultured bacterium. Its description in RNAcentral is "partial 16S ribosomal RNA". It matches the Rfam family "Bacterial small subunit ribosomal RNA", at positions 30 to 507 of the family's 1533-position model. The record is from RNAcentral.